RNAcentral lists this transfer RNA (74 nucleotides) under Candidatus Portnoybacteria bacterium CG03_land_8_20_14_0_80_41_10. Its description in RNAcentral is "tRNA-Gly". It matches the Rfam family "tRNA". Rfam says of the family: Transfer RNA (tRNA) molecules are approximately 80 nucleotides in length. Lineage: Bacteria; Candidatus Portnoyibacteriota. The record is from RNAcentral.
GCGGGAUUAGUUUAAUGGCAGAACGCAACCUUCCCAAGGUUGAGAUACGAGUUCAAUUCUCGUAUCCCGCUCCA